Phacochoerus africanus (Common warthog) is the source of this 896-nucleotide long non-coding RNA. RefSeq lists it as uncharacterized. The record is from RefSeq and is a predicted model, not a curated record. The transcript has 5 exons. NCBI's taxonomy places the organism in Eukaryota, Metazoa, Chordata, Mammalia, Artiodactyla, Suidae.
AGAACCUGAACCUCAGUGAGUCCAGACACCAGAUGGAGAAGCUGAGGCUCAGGACACUGGCUAAAGGCUGCACAGCUGGUGCAGCCUGCUUGGUCUUCCUCACAGCAUGGUGGCUGGAUUCUAAGUGUGAGCAUCCCAAGAGAACCAAGGUAAGGAAUGGGCUCACAUGGCUAUGGAAGCUGAGAAGUUCCACCAUCUGCCAUCUGUUAGCUGGAGAACCAGGAAAGCUGGUGGUGUGAUUCAGUGCAGUCUGAAGGCCUGAGGAUAUUGAUGGGGCCCUUGAUAGAUCGAGCCGUGAUCGCCUGCCUUGGUGAAGGGUGAUCUUCCUGACUCGGGCUACCAAUUCAGACACUUCUGUCUUCUGGAAACAUCUUCACAGACAUGCGAGGAAGAAAUAAUGUUUCCCCAGCUUUGGGGUCCACCCUUAGUCCAGCCACGCUGAUAUGUAAAAGGAACCAUCGCAAGUCAACCUCUCUCAACCACACAGGUCCCCUGACAGCGCCCUUGCUCUUCAAUAAAGGCAGCAACAAAGUCAUCAUUCCAUGUCACAUGAUAGAACCGUGCUUCAGGCAAACAAAAAGGCACUGAUCCAGUCCCGGAAGCGGAGGUGAUGUCUCUGGGAGGUUUCCUCCUCUCCCACCAGCCUGCACCUUAAAUACCAGGAUGUGAAAUUAACAAUGUCAUUAUGUAAAUACUGACAUCGAGUCAGCGCAUUUUAUGUUACGUGAUGAGGGAAUAAGAGAGGAAAGAAAACCAAGAUAUUUGCCUAAUAUAUGUAUAAAUACACAAAUGUAUUCAUAGCAACUAAGGAGGAAAUAGUCACGACAAUUACAGCUCUUGAUGUUUUGCAACUGGUCACAUGGUCAUAGUCGGUAUUAAUUAAAUAUUUUAUUUUA